AAAUGCGAUAAUUAAUGUGAAUUGCAGAAUUCUGUGAAUCAUCGAGUCUUUGAACGCACAUUGCGCCCCCUGGUAUUCCGGGGGGCAUGCCUGUCCGAGCGUCAUUGCUGCCCUCAAGCACGGCUUGUGUGUUGGGCUUCCGUCCCUGGCAACGGGGACGGGCCCAAAAGGCAGUGGCGGCACCAUGUCUGGUCCUCGAGCGUAUGGGGCUUUGUCACCCGCUCCCGUAGGUCCAGCUGGCAGCUAGCCUCGCAACCAAUCUUUUUAACCAGGUUGACCUCGGAUCAGGUAGGGAUACCCGCUGAACUUAAGC
RNAcentral lists this unclassified non-coding RNA (313 nucleotides) under plant metagenome. Its description in RNAcentral is "partial contains 5.8S ribosomal RNA, internal transcribed spacer 2, and large subunit ribosomal RNA". The stretch from base 1 to 104 matches the Rfam family "5.8S ribosomal RNA", at positions 51 to 154 of the family's 154-position model. The record is from RNAcentral.